UACCUUAGGGUAUGUGGGGUAGGGGAGCGUUCUGUAAGCCGUUGAAGGUGGUCUGUAAGGGCUGCUGGAGGUAUCAGAAGUGCGAAUGCUGACAUGAGUAACGAUAAAGGGAGUGAAAAACUCCCUCGCCGGAAGACCAAGGGUUCCUGUCCAACGUUAAUCGGGGCAGGGUAAGUCGACUCCUAAGGCGAGGCCGAAAGGCGUAGUCGAUGGGAAACGGGUUAAUAUUCCCGUACUUCUUACAAUUGCGAUGGGGGGACGGAGAAGGCUAGGUGGGCCUGGCGACGGUUGUCCAGGUUCAAGUACGUAGGCGGGUGGUUUAGGUAAAUCCGGACCGCUACUAACGCUGAGAUACGAUGUCGAGCUACUACGGUAGUGAAGUCAUUGAUGCCAUGCUUCCAGGAAAAGCCUCUAAGCUUCAGAUUGUAAGGAAUCGUACCCCAAACCGACACAGGUGGUCGGGUAGAGAAUACCAAGGCGCUUGAGAGAACUCGGGUGAAGGAACUAGGCAAAAUGGUACCGUAACUUCGGGAGAAGGUACGCUCUUAUCAGUGAAGUCCCUUGCGGAUGGAGCAGACGAGAGUCGCAGAUACCAGGUGGCUGCAACUGUUUAUUAAAAACACAGCACUGUGCAAAAUCGUAAGAUGACGUAUACGGUGUGACGCCUGCCCGGUGCCGGAAGGUUAAUUGAUGGGGUUAGACUUCGGUCGAAGCUCUUGAUCGAAGCCCCGGUAAACGGCGGCCGUAACUAUAACGGUCCUAAGGUAGCGAAAUUCCUUGUCGGGUAAGUUCCGACCUGCACGAAUGGCGUAAUGAUGGCCACGCUGUCUCCACCCGAGACUCAGUGAAAUUGAAAUCGCUGUGAAGAUGCAGUGUACCCGCGGCUAGACGGAAAGACCCCGUGAACCUUUACUACAGCUUGGCACUGAACAUUGAACCUACAUGUGUAGGAUAGGUGGGAGACUUUGAAACCGCGUCGCUAGAUGUGGUGGAGUCGUCCUUGAAAUACCACCCUUGUAGUUUUGAUGUUCUAACGUUGGUCCCUGAAUCGGGAUUACGGACAGUGCCUGGUGGGUAGUUUGACUGGGGCGGUCUCCUCCCAAAGAGUAACGGAGGAGCACGAAGGUGGGCUAAACACGGUUGGACAUCGUGUGGUUAGUGCAAUGGCAUAAGCCCGCUUGACUGCGAGAAUGACAAUUCGAGCAGGUGCGAAAGCAGGUCAUAGUGAUCCGGUGGUUCUGAAUGGAAGGGCCAUCGCUCAACGGAUAAAAGGUACUCCGGGGAUAACAGGCUGAUACCGCCCAAGAGUUCAUAUCGACGGCGGUGUUUGGCACCUCGAUGUCGGCUCAUCACAUCCUGGGGCUGAAGUCGGUCCCAAGGGUAUGGCUGUUCGCCAUUUAAAGUGGUACGCGAGCUGGGUUUAGAACGUCGUGAGACAGUUCGGUCCCUAUCUGCCGUGGGCGUUGGAAAAUUGAAAGGGGCUGCUCCUAGUACGAGAGGACCGGAGUGGACGAACCUCUGGUGUUCGGGUUGUCAUGCCAAUGGCAUUGCCCGGUAGCUAAGUUCGGAAUCGAUAACCGCUGAAAGCAUCUAAGCGGGAAGCGAGCCUUGAGAUGAGUUUUCCCUG
This 1627-nucleotide ribosomal RNA is filed under the name Vibrio crassostreae. Its description in RNAcentral is "bacterial LSU rRNA". It matches the Rfam family "Bacterial large subunit ribosomal RNA", at positions 1211 to 2817 of the family's 2925-position model. Lineage: Bacteria; Pseudomonadati; Pseudomonadota; Gammaproteobacteria; Vibrionales; Vibrionaceae. The record is from RNAcentral.